This 668-nucleotide long non-coding RNA is filed under the name Junco hyemalis (dark-eyed junco). RNAcentral describes it as "lncRNA (ENSJHYG00000013293.1)". The record is from RNAcentral. Lineage: Eukaryota; Metazoa; Chordata; Aves; Passeriformes; Passerellidae.
AGCUGCUCUGCUUCUUCAAGAUCUUUAAAUUUGGGUUUCCCCACAGCCAGACCUUUCUCAAACUGCUUAGCUUUUUUUUCCUAGUACACCCACAUAAUUACUCCAGCACAAAGAGUGGGCUUGUGAAGCAGCAGCAUUUUAAAAAACCACAAACUCUGAUCUCAAGGCAAUCUUUCCCUCCCACUUCCUCCCCCUUCAAGCAGGGGUGUCAGCCGUGCUGUUUCUUUCAAACUUUCUCUGAGUCAUCUCAUCAGGCAGCUUGUAAAUACUUGAAUGCAUCCAUCAAUGUCAAGUCAAAGGAUGCAGAGAAUUUAGGGGUGACCUUAUCUUCCUGUAUUAUCAGCAUACAUACAGACAUGUCAUCAAAGAUGUUGUCUCAUCAUGAGAACAAGACACCAGAAAUAAGAUUCCACACUCUACAGAAGCUUUCCUGCAGAGCUGUCGUCAGGAAUGAACCAAGCCUUUUCCAGAGUGUAGCAGUUUAUAAGUCAAUAAAGUGACUCUGACUUUCCAAAUUCUUCUUAUUAAUUGUCAAUGCUUGUACUGGGCUGCCAUUCACCUGACAUUGUCAGGGUUGUCACCAUGUUUUUCUUCAGUUUCAGCCAAUAAGGUGUUCAAUUCUGGUCCUCUCACAACAAUAAAGACUUUGAGGCUCUGGAGUGUGUCCA